CAUUGAGUCUCUUUGUCACUAGAUUUUCUUGAUUGGCACCUCCGCACCUCGCUGCUCUAUCUCCGCGGCACCUUAAACCAUCAAUCACCCUAAACCUUCACCUUUUCUGCCUCCCAAUCUUUGCUCACAUUUAUGUUACUUACUAUAUUGGUGCAAUUAUUUUUGGAAAUUACAUAUAUGGAGUAUAAGAUAAUGGGGAAACGAAAAAGAAGGGCUGAUAAAAAUAAAGCACCAUCGCAUCCAGGAAAAGCCCAGCAUGCCACAUUUAGUAUGACAUUAUAUGGAUGAUGGAUCAAGAUCUCCGCCAGUUUGCUUUCAUACCUGCAAUUUCCAAGCUUGAUGUAAUCAUGUGUGCAUAAUAACAACGCCCAGAUGGAUUUCAGGAGUCUGGCUUGGUGCAAACUUAGAUAUUCUGUGGAACUCUGUAGUUGAUUUUUAUCCUGAUUUUUUUAGCGAAACCUAUAUUCAAGUUUUAUUCUCAGAUGUUCUUGGUGGUGAUCAUCCAGAUAUUUGUCAAGUGUAUAUUCUUAAACUUUAUAGUGUGUCUGAAAUCUAGAAUCACAGCCAUCUUCAUUUAUGUUUUUCCCCACUAUUUCUGGAAAAGACUGACUUUUGUGGCUAGGCAACUGCAAUUUUCCAUGAUUCCCAGAAGUAGAGUGAUUAUCAAGAAGCUUGUGUCAUUUUAUCUUGUUCAUCAGUUCAGUUACUUACAUUUUAUGUUGGCUCUGUCAACUAGAAUUUGUAUUUUCCAAUUGCAUUUAAGUUUUUUACAUUGAAGAGUCACUAACCGUCAGCUAUCAGUUUCAGACAUCAUACCAUAUGCACCUCCCAGGGGUCUGCAGUCCAAACAGGCGCUUCUCAUGGAUGCUCCGGAUAGUUCUCUUAAGAGAUCACCAGGUCACGAAUCACCUCAUCAUCAGAAUCAUGGCUCCAGCCGUAGAAUAUUGUUGAGGCAUUCUCGUCAUCCCUUUGGUCGCCACUAUUCUAGACGAGGCUCUAGUAACUAUUCUGAUGCAUCUCCUUCUAAUUGGAAAGCUUUACCUGUCUAUGAUUCUAAUCUGUCCUUCAAACCGGAAAGUAAAGAUCUCUCAGCCUUCCAGUAUAGAGGGAGCAGGAUAUUUCAAAAACCUGAGCGGAUAAGGUCAAGUUCAUUGGUGGAGAAUUCAAUAUGGGGAGAUGAAAGGAAGCUGGAAUGCAGGAUAUGCCAGAAGUCUCUGAGGAAGCAUCCCUUCAUGUUCGAGAAUUCUUCAUCUACCGAUCUCUCUGUUGUGGCAGUUCUAGUUUGCGGCCAUGUAUAUCAUGCCGAGUGCCUGGAACAGAAAACACGCCAUGAAGAUAGCCGGGACCCGCCAUGUCCGCUGUGUGUAUGUCAGACAUGAUAUGUUGUCGAAAUAGAAUGGAAGUUGUGCUAAAGGUAUUGUGACAUGAUGUACAGGAAAUCAGCCUCUGGGAUUUGAAUUUGGUUUGGCUUAAUAUAGUUAACAGGCUAUAUAUAGAUUAGGUGCCUCUGUCAGGCCUCUUUACUGCUAAUGUAACACUGCUUUUGCAACCUUUCGGUACAGUCUCUAACAAAAUCGUGAUCUUCAUUUCCGGGUUUAUGUUGCCGAUGAAUCUGAUGGAAGUAGCUAUGUAAUGAUCAGUUGUAAUUUGGUGUUGCUUUUUUCAGUUCUGAUCAGUAUUUUGUAGAUUUAUAAAAGCUGCAGUUUAUUGUCAA
Molecule: RNA transcript, 1714 nt
Organism: Salvia splendens (bonfire salvia)
Lineage: Eukaryota; Viridiplantae; Streptophyta; Magnoliopsida; Lamiales; Lamiaceae
Exons: 4
Source: RefSeq, a predicted model, not a curated record